Fukomys damarensis (Damara mole-rat) is the source of this 2537-nucleotide long non-coding RNA. RefSeq lists it as uncharacterized. The transcript has 3 exons. NCBI's taxonomy places the organism in Eukaryota, Metazoa, Chordata, Mammalia, Rodentia, Bathyergidae. The record is from RefSeq and is a predicted model, not a curated record.
CCCCCAGGCCUUUUUAUUUAGUUUUAUUCUGAGACACUGUCCAGGCUGGCCUCAGACUUACAGCCUCCAAACAGCUGAGAUAACAGAUGCACAUCACCACCCUUCUUGAGAACCCCUCCUAAACCGAGCAUAGGAAACUGGAACUUCUUCUGAGACCUGUGUGACCACCAUUCCAAGAGAAAGCCCCCGUUUUCUUUGGAGGGGCCUGUAAGCCUGACUGACUGUUGUCAGCAUCUGCCUACAGAGGUUGUAGACCCUGCAGGCUGUGUUGAUUGUCCAGCUCCACCUUAUGACUCUCGCCAGGUUCUCUCUCCUUACCUGGGUUAACUCUGGAGUUCUGCUCUUCUCCAGGGUUCUGCUGGGAGAAGGUGUGGCCAUUUCCGGGGCAGAGGGCAUUCUCUGCAGGAGGGCCACAGGCUCACCUGUCACCAAGACUGGCGAGCGAGCCCGGUGAGUCACCCUGGCCUGGGUCAGGUUGGAGGAUCACCAGCUUCCGUUGCACGACUCAGAUGCCUAGGCUGUCCUACCCAUCUGUAGGUUUUCUCAGUCAUGCAUCGCAAAAGGGCAGGAAGGAAUCAAACGAAGCCCACCAGAAGGAAUGUGCCACGGUUAGGGCCAAAGACAGCCAGAGAGCCGGUGAGGCUGCGACAAGCUCCAGGUGCCCACAUGGAGGAAAGGGUCACUAGUCCUAAUACAAGACGCCAGGGGUAAGAGCUCAGUCUGCUUUUAGGGGGCUGCCCUGUCUGUGGAGAGUGGGAUCCACCAGUAACAGAGGUUGUGCUCAGAUACCUGAACCAGUCCGAUUUCUGCCCUGUUGAUGGAUCUGCGUCCAGGUGCGUGAUGUCAGUGCUCUAGGCCUGUCUCAGGUCUGUCCCGACUUCUACUUUUGCUGAGCAUCCUCCACCCACGCCUUGUUUUUUUGUUGGUGCUGGCUUUGAACCCAGGUACUUGCACUUACAUAGGCAAGCGCUCCGCCACUGUGCCACUCAACCCCGGCUCACUGAGCCUGACUGCAUCACUUCUGCAUACGCGUGGCCAAGAGCUUGGACCCUUUCUGAUGCUGGUUCACACAUGUGCAGCCUCUGCACAGCUUGCCCGGGCCCUUGCUGCUCACAUAGCACCAAGAUGGCUGCUCGAGUUCAGCACGCUUCUGGGCGUGGCCGUCGCCCACCACUCCGGAUGGAGUGAGCCUCCCUCCAACCACGGCAGCUUAAUCUUGUUUUUUCCCAGCAGGACCACGGCAGUGUUAGGCAGGAGGAGUGAGAAGGGAGACAGCUCCAGGCAGGAGCACUAUGGACUCCCACUGUCCCUACUGAAGUUCAAGAGUUUUUCAAACAUAAGCACAUCACUUUAUUUAUUAUUACUUUUUUACAGUACAGGGGAUUGAACUCAGUGAGUUGGCCUUUGCCUCAUUACCAGUAUUUACUGACACUGAACUUCAGUUAGUCUUUGAGGACUGACUGUCCUUGGUCACCUAGUGGCUGUAGGAGUUCAGCCUGCAUGGUGUGGCAUCUGAGACUCGACAGGAAUGUUUGUGGCAUUAUUAGACUAUUAUAUCUUGUAAUGCUGUACUUGCUCAAGGCUUCAGUGAGUUCAUUAUAAAAAUCAGAAAAAAUAUUAUGAUCACACUCAACAUAGUGAUAUUCUGCAUCUCAACCAUGUAGAAGAUCUUAAGUUUCCAGUUGUUUCACAAACAAGGAUAGACCGCCUGCUUACACGCACAGUUUCCACAGUUUUGCUUUCAUAUUUAUCGCUUAAUAACUUAGCCUUUUUACUUUCUUUCAUACACAGUUAAUUGAAAUACUAGUACCUACUUUCAGUGCCCUGCAGGUGAAUAUCCUUCCUUUGGACUACUGAGGUCUGGCCUAGUAUAAAAACAAUUCCUUUUGAGGAGAGACGGGGAAAAACAUUUUGGGUGAUAAAUGUAUUCUCAAUGCCAGAGGCCGUUAAGUGAACAACUAAUUUAUAGUUGUUAGGUUUUCUUGUAAAUAAGAAAAUAUUCUUUCUCCUUUGCUAUUUCAUAAAAUGAGUAUGGUUCCUAAAAUAUUAUAACCCUGCAUUGAAAAAUUAAUUUAAUGAAACUGGUACAUGAAUCACACAGCUUAAUAGUCUACCCCUGAGACCUGUUGGCUAACGCACACUGAGGUAAUUGUAGAGCCGAGAGAGUCGCGGACAGCGCCUCACCGAGAAAGGAGCUAACCACACUGAGAAGACAUCCAGGCAUGCGCACUCCCGACCGCUGCGGUGUGCAGUGUCAUGACAGAAAUCACGACAGUGACUCCUCGCAUCCUCAUUUUAGUGACUGCAAUUUUUUUCAAAUUGCGAAAGGAAGAUGUUUGUCUUUGACAAUUCACACUGCACCGAUACAGUAAAAAGUGAAAGUUCUUCCUCCCCCUCUCAACUUCUACAUUCCAGAGGUCUCAUUAACAAUUUGGUAUGUUCCUCCAGGCUUUAAAGAUAAGCGUAAGGUUUUGUUUUGUUUUACAAAAGCAGGACAGGCCUGGCGUGGUGGUGCACACCUGUAAUCCCAGCACUUG